AUCACCAAAGAAGUUUACCUUCUUAAUGAUCUUUCUGGCCAGGCAGUUAGAGGUGAAAUCAUGGCCAUCUUGGGGCCUAGCGGGGCUGGAAAAUCCACGUUUCUGGACGCCUUGGCUGGGAGGAUUGCUCGUGGAAGUCUUGAGGGGUCUGUCAAAAUCAAUGGAAAGCCGGUUAGUUUAUUCAUCAUCUGAUCUCAGAAAACAUCAUUUUUCAAGAACAGUAGGACGAUACUCACAAGGAUUAAUGGUUUUUCAGGUUUCCGCAAGCUAUAUGAAGAUGGUUUCUUCUUAUGUAAUGCAAGAUGAUCAGCUCUUUGCCAUGUUGACAGUCUUUGAGACCCUCAUGUUUGCAGCUGAGGUUAGGCUUCCUCCUUCAAUUUCCAGAUCAGAGAAGAGAAAACGAGUUUUCGAGCUCAUUGAUCAACUGGGCUUACAGGUAUGAGAAUUAUGAAUGAGUCUUCUUUUGCAAACUACCAAAAAAAAACAGCUGAUAACUUCAUUGAUCUGCAAAUAGAGUGCAACCCAUAC
This 528-nucleotide long non-coding RNA is filed under the name Vitis vinifera (wine grape). Its description in RNAcentral is "long non-coding RNA (VVIN_LNC005625)". The record is from RNAcentral. Lineage: Eukaryota; Viridiplantae; Streptophyta; Magnoliopsida; Vitales; Vitaceae.